This is a non-coding RNA of Danio rerio (zebrafish), 115 nucleotides long. The record is from Rfam. Lineage: Eukaryota; Metazoa; Chordata; Actinopteri; Cypriniformes; Danionidae.
GCCGGCAGUUAGCUCUCUGGAACUCUCACAUGGUCGCCCACUGAAGCUAAGCAGGGCUGUGCCCGGUCAGUACCUGGAUGGGAGACCACAUGGGAAAGCUAGGUUGCUGCCGGAA